Molecule: transfer RNA, 76 nt
Filed under: Candidatus Falkowbacteria bacterium RIFCSPLOWO2_02_FULL_45_15
Lineage: Bacteria; Candidatus Falkowiibacteriota
Also listed under: 1 other name
Description: tRNA-Thr
Rfam family: tRNA
About the family: Transfer RNA (tRNA) molecules are approximately 80 nucleotides in length. Their secondary structure includes four short double-helical elements and three loops (D, anti-codon, and T loops). Further hydrogen bonds mediate the characteristic L-shaped molecular structure. tRNAs have two regions of fundamental functional importance: the anti-codon, which is responsible for specific mRNA codon recognition, and the 3' end, to which the tRNAs corresponding amino acid is attached (by aminoacyl-tRNA synthetases). tRNAs cope with the degeneracy of the genetic code in two manners: having more than one tRNA (with a specific anti-codon) for a particular amino acid; and 'wobble' base-pairing, i.e. permitting non-standard base-pairing at the 3rd anti-codon position.
Source: RNAcentral
GCCGAUGUAGCUCAAUUGGUAGAGCAACGGUAUCGUAAACCGUAGGUUGUGGGUUCAAAUCCCACCAUCGGCUCCA